This 1569-nucleotide long non-coding RNA is filed under the name Olea europaea subsp. europaea. The record is from RNAcentral. Lineage: Eukaryota; Viridiplantae; Streptophyta; Magnoliopsida; Lamiales; Oleaceae.
UUUUUUUACACCAGGUAAAUACAACAAUGAAGUUCAUUUUAUAAUUCCACACUUACCAACUGGAAUAAGACUACAUUGGCACAUUCAUAAUUUGAAGUUCGAAAGUUGAGAGAAGACAACAUUGGCACAUACUAUAAACUACUACAAAGUGGAAUUGCAUUGCUACUACGUUACGCUACAUAAACACAUGCCGUACUACAUACUACUACAACAAAUCAAGUUUCACAUUUCAAGUCCUUCUCAUCUGCCGAAACUCGUGUCCCCUUGUGCAUCUUUAUGUUUAGGCAAAUCUCCAAGUCUUUCUCAUCCAUUAGCUUAGCCAGCAAUUUCAACAUAUGCGACAAAUCAUCCGCAUGCUCAGCUUCGUUUAUAAUACCACUUGAGUCCCCAUCGUCAUGCAAUGUACAAUUUUCAUCAUGCUUAUUCUUACACCAUUUGAAGAACUUGCAGUUGUGGGUACAACAAUGAAACAAUAGCCAUUUAUUUUCAUUGUUCUAUUCCACUUCCAUCCACUUGAUGAAUCCUACACCGCAGUUGGGGCAUUCCGACAUCAUAUGUCCCGACAUUCUACAACAAUGACAAAUUCCCCUAUUCUUUCUCGGCAUCCAAGUGUCCUACCUCAACCACAUAAAAGAACCAAUGAAUGGUGCAACUAAUUCAGUGUCUAAUUCAAAUUAUAAGAGAAUUCUACAUUAAAGUUCAACUGGCAGUAUUCUCACAACACAUAAUUUUCGAAAUAUCAAAACAAUCUCUGGGGUCAUAUUUCAAUAUAAAACACUCUUCCAUCUUCUCAAAAUUUUUACUAUGCUCUCUGUUUCUCAUUCAAAAAAUAGAUCUUCAAGGAAUGCCACUUUUUCUGAGACAUAGGGGAAAGCCAAGAAUCAUGUAGUUCUAUUAUUUGCUACCAACAUUUGAAAUCCCAAAAACAUUUCACAACAAAAUCAUGUAGUUCUUCUCUACCCCAAUUAUUUGAGUACCAAUUAUUAUUAUUUUUUUUUCAAAUUACCUAAAUUUUUACGUGUUUAAUUUGAAAAAAACAAAUGGUUAUAUUACUGCAAGAAUUGCAUUGCCCAGAAACAUAGCGCAAUUGCAGCUAUUCACCCAUCAUCAUUCUCACAUAUAUGGACUAAUAGUAUAACAAGAAGACAACACAAAAUUUCACAUACAGAAAAGGCUAAACUGAAUCAAUUUUAGAACCAUAAAACACAUUCACAAAAAAAUGGAGGUAUUCCAUCGGUUGUCUGUUGCCAACGGAGAGGUUGUAACGAUGGGGCACUUCAGUGGUCGCCUUGAAAAUCGCAUCAACUGGAGGAUAGUGUUCUUAACAGGAAAUCGAGCAGAGAUAAUGAGAAGUAUUGCUAGUGUUUUCCCGGCCAGAGGCAAGGUCGACGAUCACUUGGAGAUUUGGAGAGGACGACUUUGCAAUGGCUUCAAUGGAGAGAAUUUGGGGUUAGGUUUAGAGUCGGGUCUGUACAUGAUUUAGAAUAACCCGUUUUUGGCUUGCUCCACUUAUGAGCUGUAUUUUUUUUUCUUUCCUUUUUCCACCUCCGCACUAUAAACUUGUGUUAA